RNAcentral lists this ribosomal RNA (496 nucleotides) under uncultured bacterium. RNAcentral describes it as "partial 16S ribosomal RNA". It matches the Rfam family "Bacterial small subunit ribosomal RNA", at positions 28 to 506 of the family's 1533-position model. The record is from RNAcentral.
GAUGGACGCUGGCGGCGUGCCUAAUACAUGCAAGUCGAGCGAACGGACGAGAAGCUUGCUUCUCUGAUGUUAGCGGCGGACGGGUGAGUAACACGUGGAUAACCUACCUAUAAGACUGGGAUAACUUCGGGAAACCGGAGCUAAUACCGGAUAAUAUUUUGAACCGCAUGGUUCAAAAGUGAAAGACGGUCUUGCUGUCACUUAUAGAUGGAUCCGCGCUGCAUUAGCUAGUUGGUAAGGUAACGGCUUACCAAGGCAACGAUGCAUAGCCGACCUGAGAGGGGGAGCGGCCCCACCGAAACUGGAACCCGGGCACGCCCCCUCCGGGGGGCCCACGGAGGAAAUUUUCCGAAGUGGGCGAAAGCCUGCGGGGGCAACCCCGGGUGGGGGAGGAAGGUCUUCGGUUCGUAAAACCCUUUUUUUAGGGAAGAACAAUUGUGUAAGUAACUGUGCCCAUCUUGCCGGUACCAAAUCAAAAAGCCCCGGCUAACUCCGU